This 275-nucleotide ribosomal RNA is filed under the name uncultured bacterium. RNAcentral describes it as "partial 16S ribosomal RNA". It matches the Rfam family "Bacterial small subunit ribosomal RNA", at positions 338 to 627 of the family's 1533-position model. The record is from RNAcentral.
CCUACGGGUGGCAGCAGUGGGGAAUUUUCCGCAAUGGGCGAAAGCCUGACGGAGCAAGACCGCGUGGGGGAGGAAGGUUCUUGGAUUGUAAACCCCUUUUCUCAGGGAAGAAAAAAAUGACGGUACCUGAGGAAUCAGCAUCGGCUAACUCCGUGCCAGCAGCCGCGGUAAUACGGAGGAUGCAAGCGUUAUCCGGAAUAAUUGGGCGUAAAGCGUCCGUAGGUGGCUGUUCAAGUCUGCCGUUAAAGACCGGGGCUUAACCCUGGAAAGGCGGU